UGGCUGCAUGGCUGUCGUCAGCUCGUGUCGUGAGAUGUUCGGUUAAGUCCGCUAACGAGCGCAACCUCGCUGUGUGUUACAAGUGUCACACGGAACUGCCGGUCAUAAACCGGAGGAAGGUGGGGAUGACGUCAAGUCAGCAUGGCCUUUAUAUCCUGGGCUACACACACGCUACAAUGGGAAGGGACAAUAGGUUGCGAAGCCGCGAGGCGGAGCCAAUCCAGCAAAACUUCCCUCAGUUCAGAUUGCAGGCUGCAACUCGCCUGCAUGAAGUUGGAGUUGCCAGUAAACGCAGGUCAGCCAUACUGCGUUGAAUACGUUCCCGGGGCUU
This 331-nucleotide ribosomal RNA is filed under the name uncultured Anaerolineaceae bacterium. Its description in RNAcentral is "bacterial SSU rRNA". It matches the Rfam family "Bacterial small subunit ribosomal RNA", at positions 1039 to 1382 of the family's 1533-position model. The record is from RNAcentral. Lineage: Bacteria; Bacillati; Chloroflexota; Anaerolineae; Anaerolineales; Anaerolineaceae.